UGGGGAAUAUUGCACAAUGGGCGCAAGCCUGAUGCAGCCAUGCCGCGUGUGUGAAGAAGGCCUUCGGGUUGUAAAGCACUUUCAGCGGGGAGGAAGGCGGUGAGGUUAAUAACCUCAUCGAUUGACGUUACCCGCAGAAGAAGCACCGGCUAACUCCGUGCCAGCAGCCGCGGUAAUACGGAGGGUGCAAGCGUUAAUCGGAAUUACUGGGCGUAAAGCGCACGCAGGCGGUCUGUCAAGUCGGAUGUGAAAUCCCCGGGCUCAACCUGGGAACUGCAUUCGAAACUGGCAGGCUAGAGUCUUGUAGAGGGGGGUAGAAUUCCCGGUGUAGCGGUGAAAUGCGUAGAGAUCUGGAGGAAUACCGGUGGCGAAGGCGGCCCCCUGGACAAAGACUGACGCUCAGGUGCGAAAGCGUGGGGAGCAAACAGG
RNAcentral lists this ribosomal RNA (429 nucleotides) under Chloroflexota bacterium. RNAcentral describes it as "Chloroflexi bacterium partial 16S ribosomal RNA". It matches the Rfam family "Bacterial small subunit ribosomal RNA", at positions 355 to 776 of the family's 1533-position model. Lineage: Bacteria; Bacillati; Chloroflexota. The record is from RNAcentral.